Molecule: ribosomal RNA, 853 nt
Filed under: uncultured crenarchaeote
Lineage: Archaea; Thermoproteati; Thermoproteota
Description: bacterial SSU rRNA
Rfam family: Archaeal small subunit ribosomal RNA
Source: RNAcentral
GAGAUAGCCAUGCGAGUUAACGUAGCAAUACGUGGCGCACGGCUCAGUAACACGUAGUCAACAUGCCCAGAGGACGUGGAUAACCUCGGGAAACUGAGUCUAGACCGCGAUAAGUGAGGAUUUCUGGAAUGGUUCCUGACUAAAAUCUAUAUGGCCUCUGGAUUGGACUGCGGCCGAUCAGGCUGUUGGUGAGGUAAUGGCCCACCAAACCUGUAACCGGUACGGGCUCUGAGAGGAGGAGCCCGGAGAUGGGCACUGAGACAAGGGCCCAGGCCCUAUGGGGCGCAGCAGGCGCGAAACCUCUGCAAUAGGCGAAAGCCUGACAGGGUUACUCUGAGUGACUUUCGCUAAGAAAGUCUUUUGGCACCUCUAAAAAGGGUGCAGAAUAAGGGGUGGGCAAGUCUGGUGUCAGCCGCCGCGGUAAUACCAGCACCCCGAGUGGUCGGGACGAUUAUUGGGCCUAAAGCAUCCGUAGCCGGUUCUGCAAGUCCCCCGUUAAAUCCAGCUGCUCAACAGAUGGGCCGCGGAGGAUACUACAGAGCUAGGAGGCAGGAGAGGCAAGCGGUACUCAGUGGGUAGGGGUAAAAUCCGUUGAUCCAUUGAAGACCACCAGUGGCGAAGGCGGCUUGCCAGAAUGCGCUCGACGGUGAGGGAUGAAAGCUGGGGGAGCAAACCGGAUUAGAUACCCGGGUAGUCCCAGCCGUAAACGAUGCAGACUCGGUGAUGGGUUGGCUUCGCGCUAACCCAGUGCCGCAGGGAAGCCGUUAAGUCUGCCGCCUGGGUAGUACGGUCGCAAGACUGAAACUUAAAGGAAUUGGCGGGGGAGCACCACAAGGGGUGAAGCCUGCGGUUC